Long non-coding RNA from Vidua macroura (Pin-tailed whydah), 271 nucleotides. RefSeq lists it as uncharacterized. Lineage: Eukaryota; Metazoa; Chordata; Aves; Passeriformes; Viduidae. The transcript is spliced from 3 exons. The record is from RefSeq and is a predicted model, not a curated record.
UGCAGACAUUUAAGAUCUGUGGCAGAGCGCCCCUCCUGGGUCAGGGGGUUUUCCCUGAGAAGGUCAGUUGCUGUUUGUAUUUGCAGGGGAAGCAUAAAUGGUGACUAUGUUACAGCACUGUUCUUUGUCUAUUAUUAGGAAGUCCAGGCAGAUAGCUGCAGUCAAGGCCAAGUGUGCCAGGCAGUCCUCUUGCGAGAUGUCUCUGAUCCCAGAUGUCUGAGGCCAGGUGUCAUUGCUGCCCUAGGCGUGUGAAGGAACAGAGUCAAGCAGG